UGAGUACGAGCUGCUACGGCAGCGAAGUGGGUGACGUCAAGCUUCCAAGAAAAGCCCUACACCCGUUAAGGCAUGAUGGCCUGUACCCGAAACCGACACAGGUGGGGUGGUAGAGAAUACCGAGGGGCGCGAGGUAACUCUCUCUAAGGAACUCGGCAAAAUGGCCCCGUAACUUCGGGAGAAGGGGUGCCACCGCAAGGUGGUCGCAGUGAAGAGGCCCAGGCGACUGUUUACCAAAAACACAGGUCUCCGCUAAGUCGCAAGACGAUGUAUGGGGGCUGACGCCUGCCCAGUGCCGGAAGGUUAAGGAAGCUGGUCAGCGCAAGCGAAGCUGGCGACUGGAGCCCCGGUGAACGGCGGCCGUAACCAUAACGGUCCUGAGGUAGCGAAAUUCCUUGUCGGGUAAGUUCCGACCCGCACGAAAGGCGUAACGAUCUGGGCGCUGUCUCGGAGAGAGGCUCGGCGAAAUAGAAUUGUCUGUGAAGAUGCGGACUACGUGCACCCGGACAGAAAGACCCUAUGAAGCUUUACUGUAGCUUGGUAUUGUGCCCGGGCUCUGAAUGCGCAGGAUAGGUGGGAGGCUUUGAUCCAUUGCUUGUGGGUGAUGGUGAGCCAACGGUGAGAUACCACUCUUUCAGAGCUAGGGUUCUAACGGUCACCCGUUAUCCGGGGACCGGACAGUAUCAGGUGGGCAGUUUGACUGGGGCGGUCGCCUCCUAAAAGGUAACGGAGGCGCGCAAAGGUUCCCUCAGGCUGGUUGGAAAUCAGCCGAUGAGUGUAAAGGCAGAAGGGAGCUUGACUGUGAGACCUACAAGUCGAACAGGGACGAAAGUCGGCCUUAGUGAUCCGACGGUUCUGAGUGGAAGGGCCGUCGCUCAACGGAUAAAAGUUACUCUAGGAUAACAGGCUGAUCUCCCCCAAGAGUUCACAUCGACGGGGAGGUUUGGCACCUCGAUGUCGGCUCAUCGCAACCUGGGGCUGAAGUCGGUCCCAAGGGUUGGGCUGUUCGCCCAUUAAAGCGGUACGCGAGCUGGGUUCAGAACGUCGUGAGACAGUUCGGUCCAUAUCCGGUGCAUGCGCAGGAAUAUUGAGAGGAUUUCUCCCUAGUACGAGAGGACCGGGAGGAACGCACCUCUGGUGUACCAGUUAUCGUGCCAACGGUAAACGCUGGGUAGCCAUGUGCGGAGUGGAUAACCGCUGAAAGCAUCUAAGUGGGAAGCCCACCUCAAGAUGAGUAUUCCCAUGGCGUUAGCCAGUAAGGUCACGGGCAGAACACCCGUUGAUAGGCUCUACGUGGAAGCCGGGUAACC
Molecule: ribosomal RNA, 1310 nt
Filed under: metagenome
Description: bacterial LSU rRNA
Rfam family: Bacterial large subunit ribosomal RNA
Source: RNAcentral